RNAcentral lists this ribosomal RNA (253 nucleotides) under uncultured Eubacteriales bacterium. RNAcentral describes it as "uncultured Clostridiales bacterium partial 16S ribosomal RNA". It matches the Rfam family "Bacterial small subunit ribosomal RNA", at positions 524 to 776 of the family's 1533-position model. Lineage: Bacteria; Bacillati; Bacillota; Clostridia; Eubacteriales. The record is from RNAcentral.
UACGUAGGGGGCAAGCGUUAUCCGGAUUUACUGGGUGUAAAGGGAGCGUAGACGGCGAUGCAAGCCAGAUGUGAAAGCCCGCGGCUCAACUGCGGUAGUGCAUUUGGAACUGUAUGGCUGGAGUGCAGGAGAGGCAGGCGGAAUUCCUAGUGUAGCGGUGAAAUGCGUAGAUAUUAGGAGGAACACCAGUGGCGAAGGCGAUUUGCUGGGCCAUUACUGACGCUCAUGCACGAAAGCGUGGGGAGCAAAAAGG